ACGAGGACCUCGCGGAGUUUGUCAGCUUUUUUUAUGUAACCGGCGAGUUCGCCGCUGGCGACGCGCCACAAUUGUCUCUUGGAGGUUUUCAAUUCCUCGGCUCCGGACCAGGACAAUUUUUGGAGUUCCAGGAAUUGCUCCCUGCUGUGCGCGUCGACGAGACCAACCUCGUAGAUAACGUAUUUGCCAGCGUAAGACUCGCCGGUCACGAAGAUAUCAUUGGAGCGGAGCGCUGGAAACAGCUGAAAAACUGAACCAUGGCGUUUCACAGAUCGUCCCCGAUCUGGAUCUCCGUCCCAAUACAUUAAACUGUAACCGGUCCCGACCGGGUUGCCAAUGUAAAUCACGUUGUACUUGUUCGUUUAGGACUCGGAUCAUAACUUCAGACUCCCCUUCUGAGAUCCCAGCGAAAAUGGACCGUUUUGGAAAAACAAACUGAAGAGAGAAGUCACGCCUGGUCCACCCUCGAGGUACAACACUACCGGAACAUUCGCUGCAUUCUCCUGCAAAAAUUUUCAAUUUUAUUCGUUAAAAAAAAAAAAUUUUCCUCAGUGCAAUCGUUCGAGUGGGAAAUUUUUAUUGAUUUUUCGAUAAAUUUUUGGCACACCAAAUUAAAACACCUUUUGAUCCAACUACCUUCAGACUUGUCCCAAAAAAUAUUCAAACAUUUUCAGUAAUGAUUUCUAUUCAUGAACGAAUUGGGAACAACUGCCAUUGACGUCGACUGGCGUUUCACUUCGUUUUGAACGUUUAAAAAAAUGUGGUAAAAUCAAUCGAAUAAAUGUCCUCAAACGUCUCAGGUGUGCGAUUGAGGGAAAAAUUCCCACAAAUAUUAUCUUUUCUGCAAAACAUUCAAAAUUCAAUCUAUUUUGUGCGUUAUUGAAGUGACUUCUUGGGUCAAGGAUUUACCUCGAAGGUAAAUGAACCAAUUCCUGAUAAUGAACAGUACAUUUGCAUCUCUGACGUCAGCCUAAUUCAAGUAGACAUUAAAAUUUUUUUGUUUUUGUACAGCGAGGCCAUUUGGACAAAAAAUUUUUCAGAGAAUUUCAAAUAACAAAAUAGAAGCUUACAGCUUUUAAAAUCGCGAAUAAAAAAAAGGCUCAAAAAUGUUUUUACCUGAGCAGGAAAAUACCAAGAAAACAAAUUCGAAUUGCAAAGUGGAUUGACCAUGAAAUAACCGGUGUAGCUCUCAACCCCGAGCAUCUCCGGAUGAUUUACUUUCGCUUCUUCUUUCACAGUCUCAGCCAGUUCAGUUUCGAGGAAGGGCGUAAGAUAAAGUGAUUCUCCAGCGCCCAGGUUGUCUUGGUUCCCUCCAAGGAGUUUCCAUCUCUAAUAAAAAUCGGAGUAGCUCGCAGCAUUCUCGGAAGUGACAACGAGACCGACGAGCAGCACUUGCGCAGCAUAUUAUUUCUUAGGAAAUUUAUUUUCUUUUCUUCCUCGUCUUUUAACUUUUAAUUUUUUUAGCAGCUCGUUCCGCAAUUACCCUCUUAGAGCGAGAAUCCGGAUGAUUCGUUCAUCCAUCUCCACCGACUUAUAAACCUCGCCAAAGUCUUUAUUGACGAUCUCAUUCGGUGAGAAGGUGAUCGAAGGGUGAACAUAACACAACAUUGAUAACUCACCGCUUAUCAGCUUCCCGAAUCGAAUGGAACCUAGAAAUAUUAUAAAUAUACAUUAAUCAACAUAAUUAAUUAUAUAAUACAACAUAAUUUCGAUCUCAUUUCCCUAAGUGAUUCUCCAAUGUAAAUUCGUUAAUUUUCAAUGGAAUGAACACGGUUUCAGUUCCGUUGGAAAACACCUAUGCAAACAAUUGAAUAAAAAUUUUGAUGAAA
Molecule: long non-coding RNA, 1829 nt
Organism: Venturia canescens
Lineage: Eukaryota; Metazoa; Arthropoda; Insecta; Hymenoptera; Ichneumonidae
Exons: 2
Source: RefSeq, a predicted model, not a curated record